GUGGGGAAUAUUGCACAAUGGGGGAAACCCUGAUGCAGCGACGCCGCGUGAGCGAAGAAGUAUUUCGGUAUGUAAAGCUCUAUCAGCAGGGAAGAAGAAUGACGGUACCUGACUAAGAAGCACCGGCUAAAUACGUGCCAGCAGCCGCGGUAAUACGUAUGGUGCAAGCGUUAUCCGGAUUUACUGGGUGUAAAGGGAGCGCAGGCGGUGCGGCAAGUCUGAUGUGAAAGCCCGGGGCUCAACCCCGGUACUGCAUUGGAAACUGUCGUACUAGAGUGUCGGAGGGGUAAGUGGAAUUCCUAGUGUAGCGGUGAAAUGCGUAGAUAUUAGGAGGAACACCAGUGGCGAAGGCGGCUUACUGGACGAUAACUGACGCUGAGGCUCGAAAGCGUGGGGAGCAAACAGGAUUAGAUACCCGUGUAGUCC
Molecule: ribosomal RNA, 426 nt
Filed under: uncultured bacterium
Lineage: Bacteria
Description: partial 16S ribosomal RNA
Rfam family: Bacterial small subunit ribosomal RNA
Source: RNAcentral